RNAcentral lists this ribosomal RNA (254 nucleotides) under uncultured bacterium. RNAcentral's name for it is "partial 16S ribosomal RNA". It matches the Rfam family "Bacterial small subunit ribosomal RNA", at positions 524 to 776 of the family's 1533-position model. The record is from RNAcentral.
UACGGGGGGAGCAAGCGUUGUUCGGAUUUACUGGGCGUAAAGGGCGCGUAGGCGGUCGUGACAAGUCACUUGUGAAAUCUCCGGGCUUAACUCGGAACGGUCAAGUGAUACUGUCGGACUAGAGUACAGAAGGGGCAACUGGAAUUCCUGGUGUAGCGGUGAAAUGCGCAGAUAUCAGGAGGAACACCGGUGGCGAAGGCGGGUCUCUGGGCCGAUACUGACGCUGAGGAGCGAAAGCAUGGGGAGCGAACAGG